Long non-coding RNA from Conger conger (European conger), 1136 nucleotides. RefSeq lists it as uncharacterized. The record is from RefSeq and is a predicted model, not a curated record. The transcript has 3 exons. Lineage: Eukaryota; Metazoa; Chordata; Actinopteri; Anguilliformes; Congridae.
GUUGGAGAGUGCAUUCCACUUUGAACAGAAAGGCAGUCUAGGAAGAGUUGGCUGCUCACUGUUACAAUGAGUGUGAAGAGGACAACACGUCACGCAUGAUUUGGUACAGAGUGUGGAGAAGGGUGGUGUCCCUGUGAAAGCCGAGGCCUGGUGCUGUUAUUACAUGGUCCUGCCCAAGCUCCUCUAACCCCUUCCAGUGUACAAACUCCCAAUAUCUGCCAUGGUACCAGUAGACAAGAACAUCAGGGGCUGAUCUCCAACGAUGGUAAGGGGCUCUCCCCAGCUUCAGUAGAAUUAACUUUUACAGCCGAGGAGGAGUAGAGCUGAUCAAUCCAGCCUGCACCCCUUCAGUAGCUGCAGCUCAUCAACCCAGCCUGGUCCCUUCAGUAGCUGCAGCUGAUGAACCCAGCCUGGUCCCUUCAGUAGCUGCAGCUGAUGAACCCAGCCUGGUCCCUUCAGUAGCUGCAGCUCAUCAACCCAGCCUGGUCCCUUCAGUAGCUGCAGCUCAUCAACCCAGCCUGGUCCCUUCAGUAGCUGCAGCUGAUCAACCCAGCCUGGUCCCUUCAGUAGCUGCAGCUAGCAGCCCUCACCUGAGGACAGGGCCAGGGGCUGUGCCCUCCACAAAGUAAACCAGCAGUGACUAGACCAGACAGAAAUCCUCAUCAAGUGCCUAAUGAAUGAAGACACCAUUAUCUGGAUUGAUGCUCCUCUUACUUUUUUGAAUGGAUUCAGACGGGAAGAGCAGUCAUCUGGCAGUCGGAGGGUUGCCGGUUCACCGUUCCGCCCUGGUUUGUCCACACCUGCCCCCUGUUCAUAAGUGUGGAUUCAGAGGAGCAUGAAAAGGCUGGUUUGGCUGUUCUGGGCCUCGCCUCAUCCUCCACAAAGCAAACCAGCAGCGACUAGACCAGACAGGUUUGUCAUUCUGUUGUGCUCAUCUGAAUGCAUGUUUGAAAGUGGUAUUUUUUUUAUGGUGGCAGCAGUUCUACUGUAGGGGAAAAUUCACAGAACGAAAGAUCUCCCUCCUAAAAGCAUGAUAACCAAUCACGAGUCAAAAUCAGACUCCACCUUAGUGAGCAGGCUGGUUCCUCCAAAACUCUCGACGAUGUGUGCUAAAAGUUUAUCAAUAUAUCUGUAUU